UACGUAGGGUGCGAGCGUUAAUCGGAAUUACUGGGCGUAAAGCGUGCGUAGGCGGUCCGCGAAGUCUGAUGUGAAAGCCCCGGGCUCAACCUGGGAACUGCAUUGGAAACUAACGGGCUCGAGUGUGGCAGAGGGGGGUGGAAUUCCACGUGUAGCAGUGAAAUGCGUAGAGAUGUGGAGGAACACCGAGGGCGAAGGCAGCCCCCUGGGCUAACACUGACGCUCAGGCACGAAAGCGUGGGGAGCAAACAGG
Molecule: ribosomal RNA, 253 nt
Filed under: uncultured bacterium
Lineage: Bacteria
Description: partial 16S ribosomal RNA
Rfam family: Bacterial small subunit ribosomal RNA
Source: RNAcentral